AUGACCAAAAUAGAACAUGCCACAAACUACACAUACCUCGGGCUGAAGAUGAGUGCAACUGGUAAACUAAAUUUGGCUGUGAAUGAACUGAAAGAGAAAGCGAGAAGGGCCUUUUAUGCCAUCAAAAAAUCUAUCCAAAUUGAAAUACCAAUUCGAAUCUGGCUCAAAAUAUUCCAAUCAGUCAUUGAACCUAUUGCAUUAUAUGGCAGUGAAGUGUGGGGUCCUCUCCUGAAUCACGAAUUUGAAAAAUGGGACAAAAAUCCGAUUGAAGCCCUGCAUGCUGAGUUCUGUAAGAGUCUCCUCAGAGUCCAGAGGAACACUACGAACAACGCAUGCAGGGCAGAAUUAGGCCAAUACCCUCUACUAAUGCACAUUGAAAAACGAGCCAUCAAAUUUUGGAAACACCUAAAAAUGAGCGACCCCAACUCUUACCAUUUUAAAGCCCUUAAAAACCAUGAAGUGAACCCUGAAAAAAGUCCCCUGAUUCAGAUGAUCCUGAAGCUGCAGAAGCAAACUAACACGACUAACAACAGCCAGCAUCAGGACUCUGAAAUAUCCAUCCACACAAUUUGGCCCAACCAAAUAAUAAAAGCACAAAAAGAAAAUUAUCUAACUUAUUGGACUGAAACAACAGAAAAACAAAGUAAACUUGAAUGUUAUUUGGCCCUAAAUAGAGAUUACACAACUGCAGAAUAUCUGAGUACAGUUAAAGACUGUAAAUUAAGAAGACAGAUGACGAGGUACAGACUGAGCAGUCAUACUCUGACUAUAGAGACGGGCAGAUAUCGACAGCACUGGCUGCCCAGAGAGAGCCGUAUCUGCCCUUACUGUAAUCAUGGGGAAGUGGAGACAGAGCAACACUUCCUCACCAGCUGCUCUAACUAUCAACACAUUACAAAGACAUUUCAUCCCAGAUUUGAAACACUUUACCCUGACUUCAAAAUGUUAAACAAGAAAACACAACUUCAAUAUUUAUUAGGUGAAAAACAAGACUGUAUCUUACUAGCAGCAAGAUACACUGAUGCCUGUCACAAAAAGAGGGAGGAGUCAACAAAUCAGUGA
Long non-coding RNA from Cyprinus carpio (common carp), 1062 nucleotides. The record is from Ensembl. NCBI's taxonomy places the organism in Eukaryota, Metazoa, Chordata, Actinopteri, Cypriniformes, Cyprinidae.